This 320-nucleotide small nuclear RNA is filed under the name Erinaceus europaeus (western European hedgehog). RNAcentral's name for it is "7SK RNA". It matches the Rfam family "7SK RNA". Rfam says of the family: 7SK was discovered as an abundant small nuclear RNA in the mid-70s but a possible function has only recently been suggested. Two independent studies have found that 7SK RNA binds the CDK9/cyclin T complex (known as elongation factor P-TEFb). Lineage: Eukaryota; Metazoa; Chordata; Mammalia; Eulipotyphla; Erinaceidae. The record is from Rfam by way of RNAcentral.
GGAUGUGAGGGCGAUCUGGCUGCGACAUCUGUCACCCCAUUGAUCGCCAGGGUUGAUUCUGCUGAUCUGGCUGGCUAGGUGGGUGUCCCCUUCCUCCCUCACCGCUCCAUGUGAGUCCCUCCCGAAGCUGCGUUCACAGUUGAAGAGGACGGACUUCUCCGAAUAGAGAUGGACCGGUCAAGGGUAUACAAGUAGCUGCGCUCCCCUGCUAGAACCUCCAAACAAGCUCUCAAGGUCCAAUUAACCAGUCAUAUCCCAUGGAAAACAAAUGAUGCCUCUUGAAACUCCAAACAGACUGGCAUCUGACUGAGUCUGGCUCU